UUAAGUUCAGCGGGUAUCCCUACCUGAUCCGAGGUCAACCAGAAAAAAUUAGGGGUUACUGGCUAGCAGCCACCGCAGCCCAGCAGCGAGAGAUAUUACUACACUGAGGGAACCGAUGGUGCCGCCACUACGUUUGAGACCCGCCGUCGCCGGCGCGGCCCAAGACCAAGCAGUGCUUGAGGGUUGAAAUGACGCUCGAA
Molecule: unclassified non-coding RNA, 200 nt
Filed under: Hyaloscyphaceae sp.
Lineage: Eukaryota; Fungi; Ascomycota; Leotiomycetes; Helotiales; Hyaloscyphaceae
Description: partial internal transcribed spacer 2
Source: RNAcentral